Molecule: long non-coding RNA, 1473 nt
Organism: Salvia splendens (bonfire salvia)
Lineage: Eukaryota; Viridiplantae; Streptophyta; Magnoliopsida; Lamiales; Lamiaceae
Exons: 6
Source: RefSeq, a predicted model, not a curated record
AUCUUGCAAACCGAACACCCCUAAGAGAAUGGAAACUGAUUAUACAAAUUAAUGAAUUCAUGGUGGACACCCGAGAUCCUAUGGUGAGAAGGGGCCAGAAAAUGCCGAGACAACGGACACUGUAUCCUCUCUGAGAUGGGAAGAUUUUCUGUUUAGAGGGCUCUCACUUCCAAAGCCUCCGUUUAUGCUUCUAUCAGAAAGACGCCGACUGCUAGUGCCUGGCCUUGUUCCAAAUGGGCUGUCGGGCUCAGUUUUCCAUCCUCUGGAGUCUGUCGCUCUUUUGAUAGGAAUACAAGCAUCCAAGAAAACAAAUAAAAGUGAUUGGUUUCUCAAUUUAUUUUUAAGCCCCUAACGACAUAUUUUCACUAUAGUACCUUCUCACUCUGAAGUCUCUGAAGCUCAUUUUGGAACUCCUCAAGUUUCUUAAGUGAAAGAUCAUUCUCGUUGACACAAACAGUGAUCUUUCUCCAAGUGAGAGGAGGAGAUGAGUAAACUCAGCCUCGGACUCUGCAAGCUGCUGAUGUAGUCGAGCUCGUGAAAUGUUAGCUCUGUCAACUUUUCUUCUAUAAAUCUCGAGGCACUCCUGCUCAAGAUCCAGCAGAAACUUUUCCCGCUCAAAUUUGUCUUCUCCGACUUCAUCCCAUAUGAUCUGCAAGCGAAAGGCUCAUGUUACAACAAUCUGACUGAUCACAUUGCGAUAAGUUAAAAAUACGUAAAGACAUGCCUGUAAUUCUUGUAGCAAGUAGCCACACGACGUCUCCAGCAAUGCUAAACUUCCCAUCCCACCAUUUGAUUUCUGUAAGGAUCCCAUCAGUAGAAUCCUUUCUGAUGAGACGAUGAAAGACUAGAGAUUUAGCAGUCGUUUCCUAGAAGCGACUAGUAUUGUUUUGUACCACAGGAGCAGUUUUAAAAACUAGAGAGAUGGAGGGACCAUAGUGAGGUGGGACUUUGGUUUUGGGAGUGAAUAUUUGCUUGAAAGAUAAGGUUUCACUGGUGGGUGACAGUGGAACUUUAGGUUCAAGGAUUCUUUGUUGCUUUUGAUCUUUGAGGACUUGAUUCUCAAGCAAAGCUCUCUGGAAAAAAGGGGAAAAGAAAUGUGUCUAUGUUAUGACAAAUAGGGCAAUUGUGUAAUCGACAAACGAAAGAACGUAAAGAGACACAGAAUUUACGUGGUUCACCAACGUUGUGUUGGCUACAUCCACGGGCAAGAACGGAGAACAAAUUGUAUUAUGACUGCGGUUACAGAUACCAAGUUUUGUGCCUUCUAUACAAAUAGGUACAUCCACGGACCCCCAUUUGGCUAGCGGCAAAUAGUAAUGAUUCAAGGCAUCCUAACCGUCUAUUAUCUACAUUUUGUAUGAUUAAAGAAAAAAAAAAGAAAGAAUAUUUGGGCAGACAUUCAAGAUGAGUGAUGCCUUAUCCAAAAAAGGACAUUUUACCUUGACUAUUUAUGGGUUUUUAUCAGAAACAAAA